Molecule: microRNA precursor, 157 nt
Filed under: Pelobates cultripes (western spadefoot toad)
Lineage: Eukaryota; Metazoa; Chordata; Amphibia; Anura; Pelobatidae
Source: RNAcentral
GCAGAUACAUUCCAGCCAAUCAGCAGCAGACCCUCCCUCCCAGACCCUCCCACCUCCUGGACAGCUCACUAAGAAUGCAGCUUCAAAAUGGAUGCUGUCCAGGAGUUGGGAGGGUUUGGGAGGGAGGGUCUGCUGUUGAUUGGCUGGAAUGUGUCUG